AUGCACGCUGGCGGCGUGCUUCACCCCUGCCAGUCGAACGAAGCACUUUAUUUGAUUUCCUUCGGGACUGAUUAUUUUGUGACUGAGUGGCGGACGGGUGAGUAACGCGUGGGUAACCUGCCUUGUACAGGGGGAUAACAGUUGGAAACGGCUGCUAAUACCGCAUAAGCGCACAGCAUCGCAUGAUGCAGUGUGAAAAACUCCGGUGGUAUAAGAUGGACCCGCGUUGGAUUAGCUAGUUGGUGAGGUAACGGCCCACCAAGGCGACGAUCCAUAGCCGACCUGAGAGGGUGACCGGCCACAUUGGGACUGAGACACGGCCCAAACUCCUACGGGAGGCAGCAGUGGGGAAUAUUGCACAAUGGGCGAAAGCCUGAUGCAGCGACGCCGCGUGAGCGAAGAAGUAUUUCGGUAUGUAAAGCUCUAUCAGCAGGGAAGAUAAUGACGGUACCUGACGAAGAAGCACCGGCUAAAUACGUG
Molecule: ribosomal RNA, 480 nt
Filed under: uncultured bacterium
Lineage: Bacteria
Description: partial 16S ribosomal RNA
Rfam family: Bacterial small subunit ribosomal RNA
Source: RNAcentral